RNAcentral lists this long non-coding RNA (5003 nucleotides) under Sus scrofa (pig). RNAcentral's name for it is "lncRNA (ENSSSCG00055013586.1)". Lineage: Eukaryota; Metazoa; Chordata; Mammalia; Artiodactyla; Suidae. The record is from RNAcentral.
UUAUGUUCCACUCUUUCAUAUGUGUCUCAUAAUAUUUCAAGCACACAUCCAAAUAAACAUGAACAGGGAGUUUCAUUAUAGUGUUUUUUAGAGAAGGCUUAAUAGUACAUCAGUAGGAGAAAAAAAAAGUUACAUGUUGAGGAUACAGUUAGAUGAAGUAACCUAGAAAUGCCAAGCAUCAAAGAGAUUAUGCAAUUUUCCCAGUAUUACAUGACAGUACAUGAGUAUUAAGUAGUAGAGACAUUACCAACUGUGUCACAUCAUUUCAGAGAUUAUACUUUUAUUCAGAGCUUGCAAAAAAAAUAACAUUGUGUGAAAAAUGUAAGCAAGACGAUGAAACUACAGAGAAGUACCAUUUAUAUAAAUCAAAAAUAAAUGGGAAAGUUCCCAUUGUGGAUCAGCAGAAAGGAAUCUGACUAGUAUCCAUGAGGAUGCAGGUUUGAUCCCUGGCCUUGCUCAGUGGGUUAAAGUUCCGGCGAGCUGUGGUGUAGGUUGCAGAUGCAGCUGGAAUCCCGCGUUGCUGUGGCUGUGGCAUAGGCUGUAAUUUGACCCCUAGCCUGGGAACCUCCAUAUGCCACUGGUGCAGCCCUAAAGAGACUAAAUAAAUAAAUAAAUGUACACUCAAAUUAGUACUAUAUAAUCUCAAAGACACACAGAAAUAUAAGAAUGUUAAAUAUUUAAGGCAUGGGGAGAUGGAUGAAAAUAAGAAUGGGAGAUAGAGUAAAAGUAUUCAAAUAAAAUAAUACAAGCAGAUGCUAACCAUUAUUAUUUUUCAUAGUAAUAUUUUUCAGAGUCUGAAAUAUUUAUCAGUAAUCUAUUUUUAAGGUGCUAGUUUUUUUUUCUAAUUUUGAGAAAUCCUCAGUUAUUUAAAAGUAAAAUUCAGUUUAUAGUCAAACUUAUAAUAAAACUAGCAAUUACAUAAGCCUUGUGUCACAGUAUGUCAGGCACAGUUUUAUAAUAGAUGAUAGAUCAUUAGACCAUAAAUAGCUAGUUAGAUAUAUAGAAUACAGAAAUACAUAUAUAUAUCUAUAUAUUUUGCUUUUUAGGGGCGCACCUGUGGUGUAUGUAAGUUCCUGGGCUGGGGUCUACAGCUGCCAGCCUAUACCACAGCCAUAGCAACAUGGGAUCUGAGCUGUGUCUGUGACCUACAUCCACAGCUUAAGGCAACACCGGAUCCUUAACCCACUGAGCGAGGCUAGGGAUCAAACCCGCAUCCUCAUGGUCAUUAGUCGGGUUUGUUACCACUGAACCACAAAGGGAACUCCUAGAAUACAGAAAUAUAGAUAUAUAAUCAGUGAUAUACAUACAGUGAUAGAUGUACAUGAAUAUAUACACACAUACUCAUACUUUGCUCAGAACGUCAGUGCUGUUGAUACUUUCAUUUUUGUGAUAAGAAAAUUAAGAUCAACUGAAAUUGCUUGUCCGAGUUCACAUGUUUUGUUAGGCUGAAUAAUGCACAAAGAUAGCCACAUUCUGACCCCUAGAAUCCGUGAAUAUUUACCUUAGAGGGCAAAGGAGUGAAAAUAUUGUGGCAAAAGAUGUGAUUAACUUAAGGAUUCUGAGAUGGGCUGAUUGUCCUGGAUCAUCUGGGUGGACCCAAUAAAAUCACAAGGAUUCUCAUAAACCGAAGACGGGAGGGUCAGAAGAGCAGGAUGCUCUGUAAAGGAGGAAGAUGUGAUGAAAGAGGAAAAAUUAGAGGAGAGAUUUGAUGAUGUUACACUUUAAAGAUGAAGGAAGAAGCCAUAAGCCUAAGAAUACAGGCAUCCUUUAGAAUUUGGAAAAGGCAAAGAAAGGGAUUUUCCCCUGGAACCUUCAAAACAAAAGCAGCUCUGCUUUCAUUUUGAUUUUAGCCCUUUAUUUAUUUAUUUAUUUUUAAUUAGCUUCUGCUAUUUUAUUUUAUUUUUUGUUUUUUUCUAGGGUCAUACCUGCAACACAUGGAGAUUCCCAGGCUAGGGGUCUCAUCAGAGCUGUAGCUGCCGGCCUACACCAGAGACAGCAAUGCUGGAUCCAAGCUGCAUCUGUGACCUACACCACAGCUCUUGGCAAUGCCAGAUCCUUAACCCACUGAGCAAGGCCAGGGAUUGAACCCGCAACCUCAUGGUUCCUAGUCGGAUUCCUUAACCACUGUGCCACGAUGGGAACUCCUGAUUUUAGCCCUUUAAAUCUCAUUUUUUUUUUUUACUUUAAAUCUUUAGAAAUUAAAGAAAAUAGAUUUAUGUUACCUUAAGCCACUAAUUUUGUGUAAUUUGUUGCAGCAAUUGGAAAGUAAAAGAACCAGCUAGUGUCAGAGCCCCAUUACAAUCUUAUCUGAUAUUCUCCAGCUACACUUUCUACCUCCGUUUAGUAAUUUGGAAUAUUCUUAGGUAACAUGUUAUAGAAUUAUUAUGAAUAUGUUUUUCAAAUGAGGUUCUCCAAAAUCUCAUGACUCGACUAAAUUUGACCUUUGUAACAGUGAAAGUUCCUAACCCAUAAAACUACAUCACACUACAGCACAGAAAAUUAAAAUUGUCCUCUUUUAUACUCACUCAGGCAGCACACUUGCUUUCCAAACUGCAGGUUUUCUACUGAUAUUUGAAUAUGUGCUAAGACAUGAUGAUGAACCCAUAAUCAUCCCCCACUUGAAAAAGUGUGAAAUAAUACCUAAAAUUACCUCAGUGACAUUUCAGAAUCAUACCCUUACUGAAAGAAAUGCAAAGAAACAAGUAAUGGCUUACUUCAGAAAAAUAUCUCCCACGUAUUAGUACACUGUCUGGCACAUAUUAAAGGUUAAAACUUACUUGUUUAAUUAAAAAAAUGACAUUUGAAAUUAUUUAUAGUAAUAUUAAUUUAGAAAAAAUUGUCAUAAAUCUUCAUUUCUAUUGUCACAUAAAUUUUUUACUUCGGUUCACAUGUAAGAGAAGAACAUGCUAUUAUAAUUACAGCUAUUAUGAAUUUGAAUGAUUUUAUUUUUCUUAUCUAUCAUUUGGAGCUAAAAAAGAGCAAUGUAAUUUCACUUGAGUUAGAGCUGAGGCAUUUACAAUAGAUUAGUAUUAGAUUAAAUGUUAUAAUAUAGCAAUUUUCAUUAAAUAACCUGGAGCUGCUCUUUAAAAAAAAUAUUGUCAUUUGAGCUAGGAAAUUUAACUUUCUCUGCCAGGUUUUAUAUUCAUCAUAAAGAGUAAAUUUGGAGCUAGAAGAAAUGCAGUAUACCAUUUUAAGCCAUUUUUGAGUUUACAGAUUGAUAGAACUUUUCUUUAAACACAGGCUACGAGAAGAAGAAUUUUAACUGAACAGAAAUGAGACAUAGUCCUGUCUCUCUGUUUGAGUACUGUAACUACCUUGACUGUGAGGGGCUAUCUGAAAAAUACUUCUUUUCUACAGAUUUCAGUUGUUCUCCCAUGUCAUGGAUAAGUAUGCAGCUUUUUCUGAUUGCACAUAAGUGAUCAAGUUCACAACAAGCAUAUAAGUAGGCAGAGAGAUUUAGCGAGAGGGUAGUUAAAGGUCUGAAAUAGCUGGUGAGAGUACAAAGCAUUUCCUUGGGUAAACAAAAUCUUGAGAAAUCCUAAGGGCCUGUAUUGACAAUGGAGUCUAUUUUUUUUUUUUUUUUUUUUUGGCUCAGAAUUUCUGGGAGUUCUCAAGCAUAGCCUUUUAAAAAUUAAAGUUUCGAGAUUAAGAUGUCCUAGACUUUAGAGGUAUUAUAAAUGCAUACCUCAAAAUUCGAUGAAGACAGGACUGUGGUGUUAAAUCCUCAUAUGAUAAUCUUUUUGUUUGAUUGUGUUUCAUUGUCUAGAACUUUGUAAAAAAAACAAACAAAUAAACACCACCCCAUCACCUCUCUUUGCCUGUGAGCUCACUGAAGAUUUAGCAUUUUAAGGAGUCUCCAUACUAAGUAGAAGAUCUUCUUUUCUAUUCCUUUCACCACAUCUUUGCAUGACCUUUGGAUAUUUUUAAACUAGUAUCUUCAAACAUCAGCAGAGUAACUCAACCUAAAUGUACCAUUCUGCUUUUCAAUUACUUCUAAUUUUUGCCCUCUGCAGAAUUUCUUUCUUUUCAGUUCAACAGUAGGCUGAAGGGGCAGUUAUUAUAUUAAUCCAGUAAUUUUGUUUGAGUAUCUGGUUUACAGUUGUGCUUGCAUUAAAAAAUACUAGUGUAGGAGUUCCCAUCGUGGCUCAGUGCAAACAAAUCUGACUAGGAACCAUGAGGUUUCGGGUUCGAUCCCUGGCCUCGCUCAGUGGAUUAAGGAUCUGGCAUCGCCAUGAGCUGUGGUAUAGGUUGCAGAUGCGACUCGGACUGGUGUUGCAGUGGCUCUGGCAUAGGCCAGUGGCUACCACUCCGAUCAGGCCCCUAGCCUGGAAACCUCCACAUGCCUCAGGUGUGGCCCUCAAAAAAAAAGACAAAAGACAAAGAAAAAAAAAAUUUAAAAAAAUACUAUGAAAACAGGAGUUCGCAUUAUGGCUCAGUGGAAACGAAUCUAACUAGUAUCCGUGAGGAUGAAGGUUUGAUCCCUGGCCUUGCUCGGUGUGUUAAGGAUAUGGCAUUGCUGUGAGCUGUAGGUCACAGAUGUGGCUUAGAUCUGGAGUUGCUAUGGCCAGUGGCUACAGCUCAGAUUCAAACCCUACCCUGGCAACCUCCAAAUGCCAUAGGUGCAGCCCUAAAAAGAUCAAAAAAAGAAAAAAUAGUGAAAAUAUUUAUUCACUAAUACUACCUUUAAAAUAAUCCAUUUAGGAUAUGUCAGGUUAGUUUUCUUUUUGUUCAGUAAAAUUGUUGAUUCAGAGACCUUUAUUAAAAAUUUAUAUCUGGAGUUUCCAUUGUGGUGCAGCAGAAACGAAUCUAACUAGGAACCAUGCGGUUGUGCGUUCGAUCCCUGGCCUCGCUCAGUGGGUCAGGGAUCUGGCAUUGCCCUGAGCUGUGGUGUAGGUCGCAUACAUGGCUCGGAUCUAGCAUUGCUGUGUCUCUGGCCUAGGCUGGCAGCUGUAGCUCCAAUUAGACCCCUAGCCUGGGAACCUCCAUAUGCUGUGGGUGCAGCC